UCCAUUGCUCAGUUGGUAGAGCACAAGGCUCUUAACCUUGAGGUCGUGGGUUCAAGCCCUAUGAUGGAG
RNAcentral lists this transfer RNA (69 nucleotides) under Triticum aestivum (bread wheat). It matches the Rfam family "tRNA". Rfam says of the family: Transfer RNA (tRNA) molecules are approximately 80 nucleotides in length. Their secondary structure includes four short double-helical elements and three loops (D, anti-codon, and T loops). Lineage: Eukaryota; Viridiplantae; Streptophyta; Magnoliopsida; Poales; Poaceae. RNAcentral also lists the same sequence under 1 other name. The record is from Rfam by way of RNAcentral.